This 460-nucleotide ribosomal RNA is filed under the name uncultured bacterium. Its description in RNAcentral is "partial 16S ribosomal RNA". It matches the Rfam family "Bacterial small subunit ribosomal RNA", at positions 338 to 795 of the family's 1533-position model. The record is from RNAcentral.
CCUACGGGAGGCAGCAGUGAGGAAUAUUGGUCAAUGGACGGAAGUCUGAACCAGCCAUGCCGCGUGCAGGAAGACGGCUCUAUGAGUUGUAAACUGCUUUUGUACAGGGGUAAACCUGAAUACGUGUAUUCUUCUGCAAGUACUGUACGAAUAAGGAUCGGCUAACUCCGUGCCAGCCGCCGCGGUAAUACGGAGGGUCCAAGCGUUAUCCGGAUUUAUUGGGUUUAAAGGGUGCGUAGGCGGAUUGAUAAGUUAGAGGUGAAAUGUCCGGGCUUAACUCGGGAACUGCCUCUAAUACUGUUGAUCUAGAGAGUAGAUGCGGUAGGCGGAAUGUAUGGUGUAGCGGUGAAAUGCUUAGAGAUCAUACAGAACACCGAUUGCGAAGGCAGCUUACCAAGCUAUAUCUGACGUUGAGGCACGAAAGCGUGGGGAGCAAACAGGAUUAGAUACCCCAGUAGUC